RNAcentral lists this ribosomal RNA (406 nucleotides) under uncultured bacterium. Its description in RNAcentral is "partial 16S ribosomal RNA". It matches the Rfam family "Bacterial small subunit ribosomal RNA", at positions 30 to 526 of the family's 1533-position model. The record is from RNAcentral.
AUUGAACGCUGGCGGCAGGCCUAACACAUGCAAGUCGAACGAGUGGCGGACGGGUGAGUAAUGUCUGGGAAACUGCCUGAUGGAGGGGGAUAACUACUGGAAACGGUAGCUAAUACCGCAUACCAUCGGAUGUGCCCAGAUGGGAUUAGCUGGUUGGUGGGGUAACGGCUCACCAAGGCGACGAUCCCUAGCUGGUCUGAGAGGAUGCCCAGCCAACCUGGAACUGAGACACGGGCCAGACUCCUACGGGAGGCAGCAGUGGGGAAGAUUGCACAAUGGGCGCAAGCCUGAUGCAGCCAUGCCGCGUGUAUGAAGAAGGCCUUCGGGUUUGAAAGUACUUUCAGCGGGGAGGCGUUACCCGCAGAAGAAGCACCGGCUAACUCCGUGCCAGCAGGCGCGGUAAUAC